CCUACGGGUGGUAGCAGUGGGGAAUAUUGGACAAUGGGCGAAAGCCUGAUCCAGCCAUGCCGCGUGUGUGAAGAAGGCCUUCGGGUUGUAAAGCACUUUCAGUGGGGAAGAAAGCCUUGGGGCUAAUACCCUCGAGGAAGGACAUCACCCACAGAAGAAGCACCGGCUAACUCCGUGCCAGCAGCCGCGGUAAUACGGAGGGUGCGAGCGUUAAUCGGAAUUACUGGGCGUAAAGCGCGCGUAGGCGGUCUGAUAAGCCGGUUGUGAAAGCCCCGGGCUCAACCUGGGAACGGCAUCCGGAACUGUCAGGCUAGAGUGCAGGAGAGGAAGGUAGAAUUCCCGGUGUAGCGGUGAAAUGCGUAGAGAUCGGGAGGAAUACCAGUGGCGAAGGCGGCCUUCUGGACUGACACUGACGCUGAGGUGCGAAAGCGUGGGUAGCAAACAGGAUUAGAUACCCGGGUAGUC
RNAcentral lists this ribosomal RNA (465 nucleotides) under Vreelandella stevensii. Its description in RNAcentral is "partial 16S ribosomal RNA". It matches the Rfam family "Bacterial small subunit ribosomal RNA", at positions 338 to 795 of the family's 1533-position model. The record is from RNAcentral. Lineage: Bacteria; Pseudomonadati; Pseudomonadota; Gammaproteobacteria; Oceanospirillales; Halomonadaceae.